AAUAGUUACAUGUAAUUUCGAUUAUGUGGGCAACUUCUUAGAGGGACUUUGUGUGUAUAAUGCAAGGAAGUUUGAGGCAAUAACAGGUCUGUGAUGCCCUUAGAUGUUCUGGGCUG
This 116-nucleotide ribosomal RNA is filed under the name Alexandrium fundyense. RNAcentral's name for it is "partial Eukaryotic small subunit ribosomal RNA". It matches the Rfam family "Eukaryotic small subunit ribosomal RNA", at positions 1354 to 1489 of the family's 1831-position model. Lineage: Eukaryota; Dinophyceae; Gonyaulacales; Pyrocystaceae. The record is from RNAcentral.